AUUGAGAGACAGGGGCGUCCGUCGAUGACGGGCUGAGAAGCACCCUUUGAACCUGAACCAGAUCAUGCUGGCGGAGGGAGUCGCUCGGGGUCUCGG
RNAcentral lists this non-coding RNA (96 nucleotides) under Agrobacterium radiobacter. Its description in RNAcentral is "TPP sequence". It matches the Rfam family "TPP riboswitch aptamer (THI element)". From Rfam's summary of the family: Vitamin B(1) in its active form thiamin pyrophosphate (TPP) is an essential coenzyme that is synthesised by coupling of pyrimidine and thiazole moieties in bacteria. The previously detected thiamin-regulatory element, thi box was extended, resulting in a new, highly conserved RNA secondary structure, the THI element, which is widely distributed in eubacteria and also occurs in some archaea. Lineage: Bacteria; Pseudomonadati; Pseudomonadota; Alphaproteobacteria; Hyphomicrobiales; Rhizobiaceae. The record is from RNAcentral.